GACAGUUCAACAUGAACUAUGGGGAGAGCGGGGAUCGAACCGGGGACCUUGUGGUUACAGGACUCUCCCCACUGAGCUACACCCGACUAGUGUCUGCACAACAUUCAGUGGAGAUAAGUAUGCUGAAUUGUAAAGCUCCAGGAGAAAUGAGAUCACAGGUUUGCAGACUUCAAGACACACAGAGACACUUUUCAGAUGUUUGCUGACCUUCUCCUUCAAUGUGUAAGAGGCUCCUCUGGGCUUCACACUGAGCUCAUGGACCUGCAACUCUGAACUCAAAGCCAAGGUCAGGGAGGUGAGUGGACCAGCAGACAAGCUUGGACACCUCCCCUGAGCUUUUCAGGAUGUUCAAAUGGAGGUUUUGACCUCUCCUCCACCAGGACACACCGGACCAGAGUGAUGAGGACGGGGCUCGGAUGUGGAGACUGAAAGUCCCACAUCGUCUUCACUGGCGUCCCACGGACGGGAAGCGAGGCGGGGAGGUGGCUGAUGACCAGAGUCCAGGAAGAAGCCCGGCUCAGAAGGAAGAGGAGAGGAAGCAUGAAGGCGGUGGGGAAAAAACAAGUAAGUUCUUUUUAUGUAGCCACAUUCAUGUGUUCAUGUAGUCACAUUCACCUGUUCGUGUCGUCACAUUCACCUGUUCAUGUCGUCACAUUCACCUG
Pseudoliparis swirei is the source of this 662-nucleotide long non-coding RNA. RefSeq lists it as uncharacterized. The record is from RefSeq and is a predicted model, not a curated record. Lineage: Eukaryota; Metazoa; Chordata; Actinopteri; Perciformes; Liparidae. The transcript is spliced from 4 exons.